GUUGAAUGGCCGCAGUAUUUUGACUGUGCGAAGGUAGCAUAAUAAUUAGUUUUUUAAUUGAAAGCUGGAAUGAAUGAUUGGACGAGAAAAAAUCUGUCUCAAUUUUAUUUAAUUAGAAUUUUAUUUUUAAGUAAAAAAGCUUAAAUAUUUUUAAAAGACGAGAAGACCCUAUAGAGUUUUAUAUAUUUAUUUUUUAUUUAUUUUUUAGUAUUAUAGAAUUUAUAUUAUUAAAUAGUAUUUAGUUGGGGUGAUUAAAAAAUUAAUAAAACUUUUUUUUUAUUAUUACAUUAAUAUAUGAUUAAUUGAUCCAUUUUUUAUGAUUAUAAGAUUAAAUUACCUUAGGGAUAACAGCGUUAUUUUUUUUUAGAGUUCUAAUCGAAAAAAAAGUUUGCGACCUCGAUGUUGGAUUAAAAUUAAUAUUUGGUGAANAAGCUAAGUUAUUAGGUCUGUUCGACCUUUGAAAUUUUACA
This 470-nucleotide ribosomal RNA is filed under the name Pleophylla sp. BNHM834832. RNAcentral describes it as "partial 16S ribosomal RNA". The stretch from base 344 to 470 matches the Rfam family "Bacterial large subunit ribosomal RNA", at positions 2473 to 2600 of the family's 2925-position model. The record is from RNAcentral. Lineage: Eukaryota; Metazoa; Arthropoda; Insecta; Coleoptera; Scarabaeidae.